Molecule: ribosomal RNA, 482 nt
Filed under: uncultured bacterium
Lineage: Bacteria
Description: partial 16S ribosomal RNA
Rfam family: Bacterial small subunit ribosomal RNA
Source: RNAcentral
AUUGAACGCUGGCGGCAUGCUUUACACAUGCAAGUCGAACGGCAGCGCGGGGCAACCUGGCGGCGAGUGGCGAACGGGUGAGUAAUACAUCGGAACGUACCCAGAAGCGGGGGAUAACGUAGCGAAAGUUACGCUAAUACCGCAUACGUUCUACGGUAGAAAGUGGGGGACCUUCGGGCCUCAUGCUUUUGGAGCGGCCGAUGUCUGAUUAGCUAGUUGGUGAGGUAAAGGCUCACCAAGGCGACGAUCAGUAGCUGGUCUGAGAGGACGACCAGCCACACUGGGACUGAGACACGGCCCAGACUCCUACGGGAGGCAGCAGUGGGGAAUUUUGGACAAUGGGCGCAAGCCUGAUCCAGCAAUGCCGCGUGAGUGAAGAAGGCCUUCGGGUUGUAAAGCUCUGUUGUCAGGGAAGAAACGGCUGAGGAUAAUACCUUCGGCUAAUGACGGUACCUGAAGAAUAAGCACCGGCUAACUACGUG